GCGGAGUGUCGGUGCUGUGCGAAAGUGAU
This 29-nucleotide microRNA is filed under the name Echinococcus granulosus. RNAcentral describes it as "egr-miR-10233-3p". Lineage: Eukaryota; Metazoa; Platyhelminthes; Cestoda; Cyclophyllidea; Taeniidae. The record is from miRBase by way of RNAcentral.